GACGAACGCUGGCGGCGUGCUUAACACAUGCAAGUCGAACGGAAAGGCCCUGCUUUUGUUGGGUGUGGGUGUGGCGAACGGGUGUGUAACACGUGAGUGACCCCUCCUUGCUUGUGGGAUAACUUGGGGAAACAGGGGCUAAUACAGUAUAGGAGCACUUGCUGCAUGGUGGGGGUUGGAAACUUUCGGCGGUUGGGGAGGGGCUGGCGUCUCAUCAGCUUGGUGGUGGGGUAGCGGCUUACCAAGGCGGUGAUGGGUAGCCGGCCUGAGAGGGUGAACGGGCAAAAUGGGACAGAGAAACGGGCCAGACUCCUUCGGGAAGCAGCAGUGGGGGAUUUUGCGCCAUGGGCCGAAGCGUCACGCAGCGAAGCCGCGUGCGCGAUGUGGACCUUUGGGUUGUAAACCGCUCUGGCCUUUGAGGAGGCGGGAGUGACGGUAAUGGGUAAAGAAGCGCCGGCUAACUACGUG
Molecule: ribosomal RNA, 468 nt
Filed under: uncultured bacterium
Lineage: Bacteria
Description: partial 16S ribosomal RNA
Rfam family: Bacterial small subunit ribosomal RNA
Source: RNAcentral